ACAGUAUCACAGAGUUAAUUACACCAGACCUGCACUAAAGGGAGUAAUAGAAAGAUUGGUCUUUGGCAGAAGAGAAAUGAUCCUGGAUGGCAGCUUUAAGAUGCGUGGAAAAGUGAAGACCAAAGAAAUGAGAAAUAAGAUGAGAUCAUGAUGCAGCCGUCCUUUUGGAUUUCUUUUUAAUAAUGUGUGACCCUUCACCUUUGAUCCCCUGACCUGCAUUACCUUGGCUCUCACCACACACUUGUUCAUGGGCGCAGCAAAGAAGAGGGAUCCACAGAGCUGGAGCCGUGAGGGCUGACACAUUGGAAUGAAAGUUGGCAGAAUUCAUAGGGAGAGCUUUCCCAUCCUGCCAGCCCCAUGUCUGGCUUUAAGACAGUUCUAUUAGUGAAUUAACUGUUCUCAAAACCCCAAAUUAAUUUGAACCGAAUGUUACUAAAAAUGAAAUAGAAUAAAGUGACCUACUCUUGCCUCAUCCGGAGUUAUUACGAAGGAGCUCCGCAGCCUGACUGAGCUCUGGAGAGCAGGGCUCUGUGCACAUGCCUCCUGGUCCAGAGGCCUCCGUGACCAUCCAUGAUGCCACUCUGUCCCUUCAGCAAGCUGCCUUUUUCUUCCUAGCACCUGCCCCAGCGGUGGUAUGUUUUCCUGUCAGUUACCACCUGUCUCAUCAGAAUGGAAGCUCCAUGAGAGCAGGGCCUUUGUCUUGUCCCCGUGUAUCUCCAGUGCAUAGGACAGUGCUGACACAGUGCAGAGUCUAAAUAAAUGCUGU
This 766-nucleotide small RNA is filed under the name Pongo abelii (Sumatran orangutan). RNAcentral describes it as "processed transcript". Lineage: Eukaryota; Metazoa; Chordata; Mammalia; Primates; Hominidae. The record is from RNAcentral.